RNAcentral lists this ribosomal RNA (497 nucleotides) under uncultured bacterium. RNAcentral describes it as "partial 16S ribosomal RNA". It matches the Rfam family "Bacterial small subunit ribosomal RNA", at positions 28 to 507 of the family's 1533-position model. The record is from RNAcentral.
GAUGAACGCUGGCGGCGUGCCUAAUACAUGCAAGUCGAGCGAACAGACGAGGAGCUUGCUCCUCUGACGUUAGCGGCGGACGGGUGAGUAACACGUGGAUAACCUACCUAUAAUACUGGGAUAACUUCGGGAAACCGGUGCUAAUACCGGAUAAUAUAUUGAACCGCAUGGUUCAAUAGUGAAAGACGGUUUUGCUGUCACUUAUAGAUGGAUCCGCGCCGCAUUAGCUAGUUGGUAAGGUAACGGCUUACCAAGGCAACGAUGCGUAGCCGACCUGAGAGGGUGAUCGGCCACACUGGAACUGAGACACGGUCCAGACUCCUACGGGAGGCAGCAGUAGGGAAUCUUCCGCAAUGGGCGAAAGCCUGACGGAGCAACGCCGCGUGAGUGAUGAAGGUCUUCGGAUCGUAAAACUCUGUUAUUAGGGAAGAACAAAUGUGUAAGUAACUAUGCACGUCUUGACGGUACCUAAUCAGAAAGCCACGGCUAACUACGUG